GCAGUAGCCGCGGGAAUACAGAGGGUGCGAGCGUUAAUCGGAUUUACUGGGCGUAAAGCGUGCGUAGGCGGCUUUUUAAGUCGGAUGUGAAAUCCCUGAGCUUAACUUAGGAAUUGCAUUCGAUACUGGGAAGCUAGAGUAUGGGAGAGGAUGGUAGAAUUCCAGGUGUAGCGGUGAAAUGCGUAGAGAUCUGGAGGAAUACCGAUGGCGAAGGCAGCCAUCUGGCCUAAUACUGACGCUGAGGUACGAAAGCAUGGGGAGCAAACAGGAUUAGAUACCCGGGUAGUCCCUGUCUCUUAUAC
This 302-nucleotide ribosomal RNA is filed under the name uncultured bacterium. RNAcentral's name for it is "partial 16S ribosomal RNA". It matches the Rfam family "Bacterial small subunit ribosomal RNA", at positions 508 to 807 of the family's 1533-position model. The record is from RNAcentral.